Molecule: ribosomal RNA, 253 nt
Filed under: uncultured bacterium
Lineage: Bacteria
Description: partial 16S ribosomal RNA
Rfam family: Bacterial small subunit ribosomal RNA
Source: RNAcentral
UACGUAGGGGGCAAGCGUUGUCCGGAAUCAUUGGGCGUAAAGCGCGUGUAGGCGGCUUGGUAAGUCCGCUCCGAAAGCCCGGGGCUCAACCCCGGGAGGCGGGUGGAUACUGUCAAGCUCGAGCCCGGAAGAGGCGAGUGGGAUUCCUGGUGUAGCGGUGAAAUGCGCAGAUAUCUGGAGGAACACCGGUGGCGAAGGCGGCAUCCUGGACCAAUACUGACGCUGAGGAGCGAAAGCCAGGGGAGCAAACGGG